This 157-nucleotide ribosomal RNA is filed under the name Fusarium oxysporum. RNAcentral's name for it is "5.8S ribosomal RNA". It matches the Rfam family "5.8S ribosomal RNA". From Rfam's summary of the family: 5.8S ribosomal RNA (5.8S rRNA) is a component of the large subunit of the eukaryotic ribosome. It is transcribed by RNA polymerase I as part of the 45S precursor that also contains 18S and 28S rRNA. Lineage: Eukaryota; Fungi; Ascomycota; Sordariomycetes; Hypocreales; Nectriaceae. RNAcentral also lists the same sequence under 1 other name. The record is from RNAcentral.
AACUUUCAACAACGGAUCUCCUGGUUCUGGCAUCGAUGAAGAACGCAGCAAAAUGCGAUAAGUAAUGUGAAUUGCAGAAUUCAGUGAAUCAUCGAAUCUUUGAACGCACAUUGCGCCCGCCAGUAUUCUGGCGGGCAUGCCUGUUCGAGCGUCAUUU